Molecule: RNA transcript, 12060 nt
Organism: Syngnathoides biaculeatus (alligator pipefish)
Lineage: Eukaryota; Metazoa; Chordata; Actinopteri; Syngnathiformes; Syngnathidae
Gene: zc3h12b
Gene name: zinc finger CCCH-type containing 12B
Exons: 9
Source: RefSeq, a predicted model, not a curated record
GACCACGGACGUGAAAAUGAAAGGGCAGGACGACGAAUAAAUCUGCCGUAGAUUGUUUGGUGUUUGUGGUUAUUACGGUUUAUGCCAACAAGCAAUUCAUUCCGAAUGAAAGCGAAAUUGGACUAUUACACAGUCGUAGAGGGCGCCAAACGCUACGCGCACACGUAAUGGUUUCAUUUCAUAUCUCGUCAACAUCAAGUAUUUGUUGUACUGAAACUCGUUUUUCCUUAGACGGCGGUAUCAUACCUUUCUGCGCUUUAUUACGGGAACUCUCCUCUUCAGCCUGGUUUGCAGAUACCACCAGUUGCCUCUUUAAUAUCUUACUUGAUACAUAUUUCUUUCAGUACCACAAUGCAGUUUUUUUUUUUUUUCUUAGUUCACCUCAUUUCAAGUUGAAGAGGUUUUGAAUUAUAACACCAGGUUUGCAGUACCCGGAAAACGUCUCUAUAGUUUUUGAUUGUGGUAUUGAAACUGUACCGACAACAGUCGAAAGUUGUUGCUGCAAUUACUGCGGAUGAAAAAAAAAAAAUAUAUAUAUAUAUAUAUAUAUAGAGAGAUUCUGUAGCACGAGUGCAAAAGCAGGAAACGGACAACAUUUAUGCUUUUCAUUGAGGGAGAAGGAAUGUGGUGUGAAUAGAAAUCCAUGCCUCAUAUUCAUGCCAAUGAUAUUUUAUUGAAUGGAUGAAUUAGGUUUUUUUUGUCAUAAGCAAAUGUUAUGGAAUGUUUUGUAUUUAUAUUGUCAGCUGUUUGUACUUGUAGGACUGUAGUGGAAAAAUGCAGUCACAACUUAAUAUUUAUUCAUUUUAGCUCUCAUUUGGGGGAAUCUGUUUUGUCAAUGUGAACGCUGCCUUAAAGUAAAAAAAAAAAAAAAAAAAUGACAGCCUUAUUGUUUGUUUCCCAUCCCGUCUGUUGGGCCACAAUUUUUUUUUUUCGUCCACGCUUCACGGACUAAAGGAGGGAAAUUUGACAUAACUGUCCCUAGAGAAUGAAAACUUCCACAUUUAUCUCCUAAUGUAGGUUUUAUGAUAGUAAUUAUGCUUUACAUAUGAACUCAACUGGAACAUAACAGGAAGUGCUCCAAAAAGAUUGGAAUAUCCGACGACAAAACAUUUGAAAGCCCCGCGGCAAGAAAAUGCGUCUGCUCGAUGAUGAUGAAUGAAGUUGUUUCGAUAAAACCAUAAAUUAAAUCACGGCUUCCUUUCAGUAGAUCGCCUUUGUGAGUAAAUGGAGGUCAGAGUCCGGUAAUUAUAGUAAACAGCUCCCUAAGUCUUUACAGUUUAUGUCACUUUUUUAUGUGAAACCAUUCAGCUAGUCGUUUUUGGUUUGUUUUUAGUUGUUACCGAUCACCCUUUGAAAGGAAAGCAGUACAGUAGCUGGUGUGUUUACUGUAUUCCGUGUCAUUACAGUUCAGUGAGCUGCUCUCGAGUUUAGUCAUCUAAAAUGGUGGCACAGCAUUUGUGUCGCUCCUCGCUCCUCGGCCUGAGCACAUUUUGCCAAAUACGUGGGGGUUCGCUUUGUCCAUUUGGUGACAUUUUUCUCAUGUAAAGUGCAAGUUUUCUGGAAACCGCACAUCGCUCGGACCUCAGCGUAACACCCAAUUUGGUGGCCGACGGGUGUGCGGCGCACGACAACAGCAGCGACUCAAAUGCUCGACUUGCUUCCCCAUCGCGACGAAGAGUUGCAAAAGUUGUUUGUGCCGCUCUGGGAAAGGUCCAGUUGCGUGUUCGGCGCGGAAGGCGUGUGCCGAGCAGCCCUCGGCGAGCGUCGUCCCCCUCGUGAUCUGGCAACCUUGAGCAAACUGCGACAGCGCAGCAGCGCCGAUGGCGGCCGAACAUCCUUCCCGCUCGCUCGCGCGGGGCGAGCCGAGGACGACCGCGACGCGGUGAGACGGCCACCGCCGCAUGGCGACGCUCGACGUGCGCCAUUCCGCGAGGACGAGCCCGAGCCCCCGCCGUGUGGUCGCCACUUCGCCCUUUUCAUGGAACUUCAUCGCAAGUUGGCUGGAAAAGGUUUAACUAGUGCAAGCCCUCAGUCCUGCGCCUCAGUCCCGCUCAAGGAGUUUUGAAAGUCCAUCGACGAAUGAGAGUCCCCGGUGGCAGGCGGGCUGAGGACGAAGCAUGGGGUGUAAAUCCCACGCGUCGAGGCACACGUGACAGCAUGUUUUGCAUCGGAGUGGCUCAAAAUGGAAAAGCACCCAUGCAGGGAGAAGAACAUUAACUCGUAUGGGGACCGGCACGCCGCCGACGAGCCCGAGGACGGCAGCGGCUCGGAAAGCGACGCCGAGGAGCGGCGGCGCCUGAAGGCCCGGCUGAACGACGGCGGCGGCUGCAAUAAGUGGGAGCCCCUGGCGCCGACCAAGCCCCACCGCCAACUGUGUCGUUCGCCGUGCCUGGACCAGCCCAGUUUUUCCCAGAGCAGCACGGUGCGCGAGUCCCACGAGGACGAGACAGGCGCGGGGCCGGCCAGCGAGAGGGCGUACCAGAGCAAAAUGGACUUUGCCUUGAAGCUGGGCUACUCCGGGGAGCAGGUGGAGAUGGUGCUCAACAAACUGGGGGCCGCCGCGCUCAUUAAUGACGUUCUCGCCGAGCUGGUGAGGCUGGGAAACAAAGCGGAAUCAGAGAGUCAACCUUCUGCGUCGCUACCGCUUAGCCCCUGCGCUCAAGAGACCGUUAGUCCCGAGGUGCCCGUGGAAGAAGAACCCGCGGACCCCUUCGAGAACCUGCGGCCGAUCGUCAUCGACGGUUCGAAUGUGGCAAUGAGCCACGGAAACAAAGAGGUUUUCUCUUGCCUUGGAAUCCAACUCGCCGUCGAAUGGUUCCAGGAAAAAGGCCACAAAGACAUUACCGUCUUUGUCCCGGCGUGGAGGAAGGAGCAGUCCAGGCCUGAUGCCCUCAUUACAGAUCAAGAAAUAUUACGCAAGCUGGAAAAGGAGAAGAUCCUGGUUUUCACCCCGUCUCGGAGGGUCCAAGGCAGAAGGGUGGUGUGCUACGACGAUCGCUUCAUAGUGAAGCUGGCUUAUGAUUCUGACGGAAUUAUUGUGUCAAAUGACAACUACAGAGACUUGCAAAACGAAAAACCGGAGUGGAAGAAGUUCAUCGAGGAACGCCUCCUCAUGUAUUCGUUCGUCAACGACAAAUUUAUGCCACCCGACGACCCGCUGGGAAGGCACGGUCCGAGCUUGGAAAAUUUCCUUCGCAAGCGUCCCGUCGUCCCGGAGCAUAAAAAGCAACCUUGCCCCUACGGCAAAAAGUGCACAUACGGACACAAGUGCAAAUAUUACCACCCGGAGCGCGUCAACCAACCGCUGCGGUCGGUGGCCGACGAACUGCGGGCCUUCGCCAAACUGUCGGCGGUCAAGACCAUGAGCGAGGGGGCCUUAGCCAAAUGCGGCACCGCUUCGGCCGUUGCCAACCAGGACGGCAACUCGGAGGCGGCUAAACGCGUGGCGCCCAAACGCCAGUCCGAUCCCAGCAUCCGCUCAGUGGCCUGCGAGUCUCCAGAGAGCCUGUCCGUCGGGAGGAAAUCUGAGACCAAUUCCGUGCCUUCCCUCGUGACCGCUCUCAGCGUGCCCACCAUGCAGCCGGCCAAAAGCCACGCGGCCGGCGCGUUGAACACGCGAUCCGCCAGCAGCCCGGUUCCCGGCUCCUUGCAGUUCUCGCACAGUUCGCUGGAGCACAUGUCCAGCGUGCAGUACCCUCCCAUUUUGGUCACCAACAGUCACGGCGCUUCCGUCACCUACGGCGAGCAGUUCCCAAAGUACGACUCGGUCAGCGACCACGGCUACUAUUCGCUGCGCAGCGACUUUUCCACCAUGAGCAUGAGCAGCGUGCACAACGUGGACAGUUUCUGUAGCAUGGAGCACGAGCACGUCGCGUGCCAGAGAAGCCGCAGCCGCUGCGCCGAGUCCUGCCUCGGCCACUCCAACAGCGACUCGUUCUCCUCCUACGGCGAUCCGUACCCGGGCUCCGCGGACGGGAGCCUGGAGGAGAGCCUGAAGGGCCAGCAGCAGCCGCCGUCCGCCUCGACGGGCAGAAUGCAGACUUACUCCCGCGGCUUCCGCCGCGAGGGGCUCACGAGGGUGCAGACUUACGGGCCGGAGGAGCCCAAGCAGGGUCCGUGCAAGCAGCUCACGCCGCACGUCCAGCACGCGACGGUCGGGGCCCGGUCCAGCUGCCCUGGCGACUACCCCGUGGCGCAGAGCGGCCUGCCGCCGUUGUCCUCGCAGCCGACGCGCUCGCUGGGCAUGACCCGCAUGGACAGCGUGUCCGAUUCCCGGCUGUACGACAGCAACCCGAUGAGGCAGAGGCGGCCGCCGCUGUGCCGCGAGCAGCACGCCAGCUGGGACCCCCUGCCGUGCGCCAACGAAUCUUACGGCUACCACUCGUACCCGCUGAGUGGCAGCCUCAUGCCGUGCUGCGAGCGGGUGAUGGUUCGCAGCAUGCCCGACAAGAUGGAGCAGAUCUGGAACUCGCCGUGGGAGAGCCCGCCCGCCGCCGAGCACCAGCAACGUGAUUCCCCAAAGGAGCGACGUACUACUACAUAUGCAGGGAGCUGUUCUGCCAUGCCUGAUUCAUGCAGAAGAAUUUAACUUGCAGGCUGGCUGGCACGUUUCCCUCGUCUUCCCCUACUUCAUGCUUAAUUGACUGCAGCCGCUCCGGUGGUGAGCAACCACUCAGGGCAGCAUCGACUGCCGGAGAAAAAAUUCCUUGUGUGUUUUACACACUUGGCCAUUACAGCUGAUUCAGAUUCUGAUCGAUGAGUACUGAUUGAAGACAAGUUCACAGCCAAUCUGAUGCUGAUUGCUGGGGAGAGAGAAGGAGGAAGAGAGAGGCAAGGCACAAAGUACCACUAUAGCUCCAAAGGAGGAACUGCAGGGCACAGAUCAUAACAUUACAGGCUUGGUGCAAUUUUUAUUUACAAAUGAUUUCCAACUAAAUGGACUCUAAGUUUACCUGUUCCAAAACUUUUAUUCCUAUAAAAGUAAAUUCAGAUUUGUAUUUAGGUUUCUGUCAGAUGCAGAUCUAAAACUGUACAAAGGAAUGACAAAUGACAAAAAAAAAAAAUAUAUAUAUAUACAAACCACUGUGUAAUUGCUGCAUGUGGAAAUAAGCAACUGAUGUCCAAGAAAUUGUACAUACCAAAUGAAUACAUUAUAAUCUAAUGUAAUUUUCAAUGUUUUAGUGUUGGACUAGUGGUAAAUGUAUUCAUUUGUUUAUUUAUUUUUGUUCCAGGGAGUAAACAUAAAACAUAUUGACAAGCUAAUGCUAAAGCGGCAUUGAUCCCCUUGUCCCAGACUGAGUGCUCCGAGGCAUAUUACGGACCUAUUUUGAUGUUAGCCAACUAUCGCUCUUCUUUUUUUUUUUUUUUUUAUUGUCCUAUUCGGCUGUUAGAUCAAGCGAAAUGGGUAAUCUGCAUCCCUUUAAUGCGGGAACAGUUUUAUUGUGUCACAGUUUAGUUUUAAUCUUCCUCUGUGAUUUCUCAGUAUUGAAAUUUAUUAAGGAUCAGAGUCAAUCAGUCGAUCAGAACAGAAUUUCUACAGGGGGGAGAGAGACAAAGUGCUAACUGUAAACAGAAUGACAAAAUUAAAUCAUUACAUAUCUAAAUUAAGGAAAAAAAUAUGGAUGUCGCAUGAGACUGUAGUGCUACACCCUGUGUGGGAAGGAUGGAACAAGAUAGGACAGGACAAGGAUAGGAGAAGAAGCAUGCAAGAUAAGCAUUGUGAACCUGGCAAUACAACUGCAAUGUGGUGGGAAUGACUAAGUGAUCUAUAGAAGUCUGUAGAACCAGAAUAUAAAUGGGGGAAUAAACAUACAAUUCUCCUAUACAUUAGUUUUGGUUGUCUUUUUUUGCAACAAGUGAAUGGUCCCACACCCAGUGAAAGAAACCCAGGGGUGUGUACCUGUGGACGCAAGCAAGUUAAUUCACACCAUUGUGAAUCCAAAAACAAUGACAGGAAUGUCCAACAAUUGCUGUGCCUGUGGCAUGGAGUCUCAGGAAGGAAACAGGGGCGAUGAAGAAGUGAUGGGUAAGUAUGGCAUUCAGCAAAGGAACUUUCAGGGUCGGAUGGUGGUGAGCUUCACAAAAAAGAUGGAAUUGGCAGUGCUGAACACUUAUUUCCAGAAGAGACAGGAACAUAUAGUGACCUACAAGAGCGGAGGUAGAAACACGCAGGUGGAUUAUAUUUUGUGGAGACAAUGUAAACUGAAGGAUGUUACUGAUCGUAAGGUCGUGGUGGGGGAGAGUGUAGCUCGACAACAUUGGAUGGCGUCACGAUCCUGCUGCUCCAGCCCGGGCUGUGCGGGUGCCCGCCCGCGUGCUCGCGCUAAUUGGGAGGCACACACCUGCGCCUCAUGCGGGCUGAUUAUCCCGUGUAUAUAUAGGACCCCGAUGACGACUGGUGAUCCGCCAGAUCGUUGAGGUUCAUGUCCCGUUCCAGCACUCUCGUAUCCCUGAUCGUCAACCCGUGUGUACCGACCUUCGCCUGUUCUCCGACUGACCCCGUAAGCCUGACUCCUUUGACACUUCUGCCUGCCUUGAUCGAUCUUCCGUGUACCGACUCCUGCCGGCCCUCUCACCGGCUCUUCGCCCGACGUCCCAACUACCGCUGCUGCACCUGACUGCCUGCCCGAUCCCCGACCUUCUAAUAAUAAAUGUUUUUCUCCGAACUACCUUGCUCUUCCGUGUCCUCCUGCAUUUGGAUCCUACCUCCGUUCCGAUGGAUCGUGACAGAACGAUCUGGCCAAAACAGGACCCAGCAGGAAAGACUCGGCAUCGCCGGGACCGAUGCAAGGUAGACCGACUGCCGGAAGUCCAAGCCUGUCCCAUCCGGGUAGGCCCCAUGACGUCCUCCGCUUCCGUGUCAUAUGCUCCGCCGGUGAGCUAUGAAUACGUCCCGACCAUGACCUGUCCGGCACCGCAUAUUCUUCUGGACUCUGACUUUUCGGACACGAGGAGGACCUUAAUUUGUAUGACCGGCUGCCUGAGUACGAAUCUUUUCGCCCGAUCUUCAAUCCCGGCCAGUUUGUUUCACCUCCCCGCAUUUCCAGCACCCGAGCGUCUUCGCCCGGUAGGUCUGAGUACACCAACCCGUUUGUUGGUACCCGCUUGGCCAUCUACCCGGGACUCGGAAAUAUGUUAGAAUAGUACAGGACAUGUAUGAGGGCAGCAGAACAAUGGUAAGGUGUGCCGUUAGUGUGACAGAAGAAUUUAAGGUGGAGGUGGGACUGCAUCAGGGAUCCGCACUGAGCCCCUUCCUGUUUGCGGUAGUAAUGGAUAGAUUGACAGAUGAGGUUAGUCUGGAAUCCCCUGGACUAUGAAGUUCCCAGAUGAUAUUGUGAUAUGAAGUAAAAGCAGGGAGCAUGCAGAGGAACAAUUAGAAAGAUGGAGACAUGCACUGGACAGAAGAGGAAUGAAGAUUAGCUGAAGUAAAACAGAAUAUAUGUGCGUGAAUGAGAAAGGUGGAGGGGGAAGAGUGAAGCUACAGGGAGAAGAGAUGGUGAGGGUGGACGACUUCAAAUACUUGGGGUCAACAAUACAGAGCAACAGUGAGUGUGGUAAGGAAGUGAAGAAAUGGGUCCAAGCGGGGUGGAACAGUGGGUGGAAGGUGUCUGGUAUUCUAUGUGACAGAAGAGUCUCCGCUAGGGUGAAGGGCAAAGUUUACAAAACAAUGGUGAGGCCGGCCAUGAUGUACGGAUUAGAGACGGUGGCACUGAAGAAACAAAAGGAAGCAGAACUGGAGGUGGCAGAAAUGAAGAUGUUGAGGUUCUCGAGGUUGGAUAGGAUUAGAAAUGAGCUCAUUAGAGGGACAGCCAAAGUUGGAAGUUUUGGAGACAAGGUUCGAGAGAGCAGACUUAGAUGGUUUUGACAUGUUCAGAGGCGAGAGAGUGAGUAUAUUGGUAGAAGGGUGCUGAGGAUAGACCUGCCAGGCAAAAGAAUGAGAGGAAGACCAAAGAAAAAGUUGAUUGAGGUUGUGAGAGAGGACAUGAGGACAGUGGGUGUUCGAGAGGAAGAUGCACGAGAUAGGCUUAGAUGGAAAAAGAUGGCACGCUGUGGCGACCCCUCACGGGACAAGCCGAAAGGAAAAGAAGUACAGGGGUCUAGUAACAUUGACCUGUAGACAUUUUGAGAUGGAGGUAAAGUUCAGAAAGUGUAACCAAAAAUCACAAAAGGAACCAAUGGAGAAAAACAGUAUAUUAGUCUGUUUCUACUGUGGCCCCAACUCUAACUGUUCAAGUUUGGCUCUGGACUAAAAGCCAACUAGUGGUUGGAGGGAUGCCAGUCUGUUUUAUGGCUAGAGUUGAGAUACCCUUGUACACUGAUCCCAGCUCCUCACCCCAAAAGUGUAGCAUGGGCAAGAAUGACUUAUAUUCAUUAUUCCUGUGACAGUGACAAUGUAUUAAUUUUCUUUUCUGUUGUAUGUUGUUUUUGUACAGUUGACAUCUUUCCUUCCACGCCUCCAUCUGUGUGGUUCUGUUUUCUGUCUGGUGUGCACAAAUACAAAGUGUGAGUUGAAUUUCACCUUUCGGGAUAACAAUGAGAAAUAAAAGAUAAGUAAAAGUCGGGCUGCAUUACAAAAUAAGACCAAAUAAAUAAAAACUCAAAAGUAAACGUUAAAAUAAAUUACUUAACUUGAGAAAAACAAAUGAGUUUGUGUUUACCCUUUUGUCUUUAGCAUCUCUACACAACCAGCGGCAGUGCGAUAUGGUUUGCAAGGGGUAGAUGUGGCUAUCCGAGGCCGUAAAUCUCACCCCCAGGAAGAUAAAGUUUGAUCACCAUCAUCCUGUGCCCUACUGGACACAGCAAUGAACUCUAUAUUUUAAUUGAACCAUUUUUAACAAUAGAAGAGUUUUUGAGGCCAUGUUUUCUUAAAACCUUAUUUUGUUUCAUAAUAAAUCUUUCACAUAUGUUCUUUUAAUACCGUAAGUGUGAAUUUAGGGGAAAUUAGAAUAUAAAAUGAAAUUACUCUGGCUGUUCCAUUUGAAUUUUUGGGGAAAGCGUCAUUUUUUUUUCCAAGCAUACUCUUCCUUUAUUAUUUAUAUAUUUUAUGAAUAAUAUAUAUUUAUAUCUAUAUAUUUUCUUCACUCUCUCUCCCUUUCUGCAUCUUUUAUUCAACUUCCACACAGAAUUUUUUCUCACUUCCCUGCUGCGUCUCUCGUCUGUCUCUCUGAUCUAGGUGCUGAGUUGCAGACUUGAUUGGCUGAGUAACGUCACUUGGAAUGGGUUAACUCAUUUAUUCAGCGGCUGAAAUAUAUUUUUACGAUGUCACCAUUAUUCUCAAUAAAUAUAUUUCAAAAGACACGAUUGAAGAAAAAUGAAGAAAAUGUUUUGGUGUGGUGAUAUUAGGGUGAUGAUUCUUCUCCAAAGGUGGUGUGUAUUGUGGCAUCCACAAAGGAGAAGCAAGGGGGAAGUUCAAAAGGCACUACAAAGGAUGAAAAAUGAAAAGCCCGUUGGUCCUGAUGACAUACCGUUGGUGGUAUGGAAGCAAUUUGGAGAAGUGGCUGGGGUGUUUUUGACCAACUUAUUUAACAGAAUAGUAGUGGGCGAGAAAUGCCUGAAGAAUGGAGGAUAAGUGUUCUCGUUCCCAUUUUUAAGAACAAAGGCGAUGUUCAGAGCUGUGGGAACUAUAGAGGAAUACAUUUGAUGAGCCACACAAUGAAGUUAUGGGAAAGAAUAGUGGAGGCUAGACUCAGGACAGAAGUAAGUAUCUGCAAGCAACAAUAUGGUUUCAUCCCUAGAAAGAGGACCACAGAUGCACUAUUUGCCUUGAGGAUUCUCAUGGAAAAGUACAGAGAAGGUCAGAAGGAGCUACAUUGGGUCUUUGUGGAUCUUGAGAAAGCCUAUGACAGAGUACCAAGAGAGGAACUUUGGUACUGCAUGCGGAUGCCUGGUGUGGCAGAGAAAUAUGUUAGAAUAGUACAGGACAUGUUCGAGGGUAGCAGAACAGUGGUGAGUUGUGCCGUAGGUGUGACAGAGGAAUUUAAGGUGGAGGUGGGACUGCACUGCUCUGAGCCCCUUCCUGUUUGCUGUGGUAAUGGAUAGGCUGACAGAUGAGGUUAGACUGGAAUCGCCUUGGACCAUGAUGUUCGCAGACGAUAUUGUGAUGUGCAGUGAAAGCAGGGAGCAGGCGGAGGAACAAUUAGAAAGAUGGAGACAUGCACUGGAAAGAAGAGGAAUGAAGAUUAGCCAAAGUGAAAUAGAAUAUAUGUGCGUGAAUGAGACGGGUGGAGGGGGAAGAGUGAGGCUACAGGUAGAAGAAAUAGCAAGGAUGCACGACUUUAAAUAUUUAGGGUCAAUAAUACAGAGAAAUGGUGAGUGUAGUAAGGAAGUGAAAAAAUGGGUCCAAGCAGGUUGGAACAGCUGGCGGAAGGUCUCUUGUGUGUUAUGUGACAGAAGAGUCUCUGCUAGGACGAAGGGCAAAGUUUAUAAAACAGUGAUGAGGCCGGCCAUGAUGUACGGAUUAGAGACGGUGGCACUGAAGCGACAACAGGAAGCAGAACCGGAGGUACCAGAAAUGAAGAUUCUGAGGUUCUUGCUUGGAGUGAGCAAGUUGGAUGGGAUUAGAAAUAAACUCCUUAGAGGGACAACAAAAAUUGGAUGUUUUGGCGACAAGGUUCGAGAGUGCAGACUUCGAUGGUUUGGUGAUGUCCGGAGGCGAGAGAGUGAGUAUAUUGGUAGAAGGGUGCUGAGGAUGGAGCUGCCAGGCACACGAGUGGGAGGAAGACUAAAGAAAAGAUUGAUGGAUGUUGUGAGGAAAGACAUGAGGACAGUAGGUAUUAGAGAGGAAGAUGCACGAGAUAGGCUUAGAUGGAAAAAGAUGACACGCUGUGGUGACCCCUAACGGGACAAGCUGAAAGCAAAAUAAGAAGAAAGUUUGUGGGUCCACAGAGUCCCAUUUUAUUAUCAUCAAACCAGACUAUGUGCUCCUCGUAUUAAACUGACUUGUCCAAAAGUUACUUAUCACCAAUGGACUCUUGCGCAAUUAGCAUACAUACAGACCAUGGCGACGGAGUGCAUUACUCACUGUUGACCUGACUUUCAACAGUCAUAUCAAAUCAAUUACUAAAACUGCCUUUUACUGUCUGAAGAACAUAUCUACCAUGAAGGCUUGCAUGUGCCAAUAAAACCAAGAGAAUCUUUUAACUCAAUGCUUUUAACUUUCUAACUGGACUCCAACAAAAGAGCAUUCAACAGCUGCCGCACAUUCAAAAUGCUGCAGCUAGGGUUUUGACCAGAACAAAUUCCAAUUUUAAAGUCUUUGCACUGACACCCAGGCAGCUUUAGAAUUGAUUUUAAAUUUCUGCUACUGGUAUACAAGUCACUAAAUGCUUUAGAGUCUAACUACAUGAAAGAAAUGCAAAUGGAAUAUAAACCCAGUAGGGUUUUGCUCUCAACAGACUCAAAUAGUGGAUUGCCAAGUUCAAAGUAAACAUUGUGAAGAAUUGAGUUAUGCUGCACACAAAGGCUGUACCGGGAAUAAGUUGUCAAGAGAAGUGAUGUCCGCCCCAAGUGUAAAGGUUUUUUUGUCCAGGUGAAAGACUUAGUCUUUCUCAUGCUUUGUUGAGCAUUUCCACUUUUAAAUGACAUUUCUUGCACUUUUUUCUGUUUUAAUUGUGAUUUUAGUUUUUGUCUUUAUUUAGAUAUUUAUAUGAUGUUUUUUCUUUUUAAAAAUGCUUUUUUUUAAUCAUGAAAAGCACAGUGGAUUACUUUGUGUAUGAAAUUCCAAAAUUGUACAUUUGCUUACCUUUGCUUUGCUUUUGCACGUGACAAGUGUACCUGUUAAUUCCAAGUCUUUUUGAAGCUCACCUCAGGUGGUCCUUGGCUCGUGGACAACUGUUUUGAUUAUUCUUUGCAGUCUUCUGUCAUAAGACUGUCAAUUUAAGGUGGUAUGAUUGGUUUUCCACUUACGUAUUACAGUUCCAACCGUGUUGACCGGAAAAUUAUGAAGUUUAGCUAUGCACCUGUAACCAUUAUUAUGUUUUGCAAUAAUUGGUUUGUGAUGGUCUUGAAACAACUGUCUGCUCUUACUCAUCAUUGACUCAAACCUUGGCAAUAAAACUUUUU